UAUAGACUGGACACGAA
Molecule: unclassified non-coding RNA, 17 nt
Filed under: Mus musculus (house mouse)
Lineage: Eukaryota; Metazoa; Chordata; Mammalia; Rodentia; Muridae
Description: oocyte_clustered_small_RNA2742
Source: RNAcentral